Molecule: small RNA, 3513 nt
Filed under: Pan troglodytes (chimpanzee)
Lineage: Eukaryota; Metazoa; Chordata; Mammalia; Primates; Hominidae
Description: retained intron
Rfam family: Metazoan signal recognition particle RNA (bases 2291-2407)
Source: RNAcentral
UUUUAAAAAAAGGUUUGACUUUGGAAUUCAUGGCAGCAAAUGUCGUGAAAUCAAGGUGUAGUAUACAAUUUAGGGGCUACUUUCUUUGCCUUCCUGAGGCUAGAAGUGUGGUCGGACGCUUACUUGGGUCUCUGGUCAAUAUCUGUCUCUUUUAUUCUUUUCCCAAGACCUCGGUUCCUCAGUUUGAUAAUGCAUCUUUGUUAGGAUAGAAUAUUUUAGCCUCAUGGAAAAUACGGAGGCCCAGGCUGAGUCUGCAUUCUCCAAUCUUACCAAACCCCCAAGAAGCCUCCCUCAGGUGCAGUGCAGUGUGCCAGGCAGGUUCGAGUUCCCAAAGGGUUUGGCAGGCAUGUUUCUCUGUGAGGGUCUAGAGAAGCAGCAAUAUAUAAAAGAAGCAGCAAUAUAUAAAACCUUUAGCAGAAACAAAAAAAAUGUUGUUUGAUUCCUGGCUCAAUGACCUUGGGCAAGGCCUUUUCUGAGCCCUUUCUUGGGCCUCAGCUUGCUCAUCUACAGGGUGAGGGAGUAGGUGUCAGUGAUUCCCCAGGCCACUUUCAACCCUCCCGCUCAAUUCUCAUUACUAAUAGUUGUUAAUAUUUCUUUGGAUUCAAUCUGGAACUAGGUAGAGAUUUGGUUUUCUUUUCCACUUUGCUGCUUUUCUGCUCCUUUCUGAGCUUUUAAUCCUCUUUUUAUCAAAUUACCUUUUAUUUAAAAUAAAUGACUUUGAAUCUGUACUGUAUAUUUACCUGAAGAGUCUAUUUAUUGUAAUUACAUUUUUCUGAAAUGGCUUUUAUGUACUUAAUAGUUUCCUUAUUUUGUUACACUCUUGGAUUUUAUUUUAUUAAUUACCUUACUAGAAUUAGAAGGGAUUUAGAGCAUAAGUAUUGUACACAAAGUAAAGUUCCAAUAAAGCUUAUAAGCUACAGAAGGCAUUGUGGGAGAUGUGGGUUUUAAAAGGUUGAGAAACAUAAGAGGUUAAUGUUGAUAAAUUUCAUUAGGCCUUUGACAACUAAAUAUGACAUUUGAACCUUGAGAUUGCAGCAGCCCUUCCUCAGUCUUCAAUAGGAAGGAUUAAAUUCAGUACUACUUUUGAAUUUUAGAAACAAAAUUGUUUACCAGUUUUUGAAUUCCAUGUAGAGACUUCAGCUUCCUACUGAAAAUACUAGGAUAAUAAGUUAGUACUCUCAUCUUCUGUCUCUACUCUGACAUUAGCUAGUUGACAGUGGACAGAAUAUAGCCUUCAUUAUCACGUUGUCUCGCUCUUAUUGUUAUUGUUGUUUUUUGAGGAAGGACAUAAUCCUUUGGCCUAAACCGUGCUUCCUAGGCUUCCUAGGGAUAUGUAGUCCUUUUUUGUACAAUGCAUGUAGAGUCUCUUCAGACAGGAGGUGUCUGAGUCCCACUGCUGAGUUUGUGUUGCAAGGCUGGUUGUGGGUAGGUUUUUAAAGCAGCUGAGUAAACUGAAUCCUUUUUUCCUCUCUCCAGGCUGAAUAUUACUGAAGAAUGAUCCUGUUCAACCUCCUAGUGCCUCUACUGAAUUAUUCCUCUUUUAAAUGGUUAAUGAACCAAUAAUUUUUAAAUCAUACCAAAAAUAGUAAGAAAAUAUGCAAACACUCUGUGAUCAAACUUAAAAGUCAUUGCCAUUCAUCAUUAAUAAAAGUUGCCAUUUCAACUACAUCCCAACAUUACCUAAUAGGGUAUUCAGGGAACCUAUCUUAAAUUGUGCUUAUCUAAAUCUUGGAGCUUUGAGCUAGGGGAGGAGAAUGUAUUAGACUAAAUACAAACUGAGGGGUUGUAAGGGAGUCUCAGAACCUCACUGAAUCCUUCACUCCAGUGAUGGCACUGCUCACUUCCUGCCUCUGCUUCCACCAUCACUGUGUAAAGCUUUCAAGAGCUUGGUACUUCCCAGGGCUACCAGCAGUCCUCUGUAGUCCAGAGAGGUGAGGUUAGAUCUUCUUGGUUCCCUGUGAGGUUUCAGGCACUAAAACUCUAUGUGGGGGAGGGAGGGGUUACUCCUCCUCCAAUGGGACUCAAGGACUUGACCUCCAGGAGUAGGCCCCUGGUCAGAAGUGCCAUCUCACCAGUGGUCUUCAUUCUUCCUCAUUCAUUCUUUAUCAUCCUGUGUUCUGUUUAGUUGCAACAAUCUCUUGUGACUAAUGUCACUCAAAGCAUCUUGUAAAUCCUAGGGCUUCCUGGAAGUUAGUUGCCAAAGUCAUGCAAGCAUCACCUGUCAUUCUUGUGUUGGAGUUAUAGAAUUCUACAUCUUAUAAAACCUAACUGGCAUUUAAAAAAUACUGUGGCCGGGCAUGGUGGCUCAUGUCUGUAAUCCCAGCACUUUGGGAGGCCGAGGUGGGAGGAUUGCUUGAGUCCAGGAAUUUGAGACCAGCCUGGACAACACAGUGAGACCUCAUCUCUAUCAAAAAAUAAAAAUUAGCUAGAUGUGGUGGCAUGAGCCUGUGUUCCCAGCUGCUCAGGAGGCUGAAGCAGGAGGAUUGAUUGAGCCUGCGAGGCCAAGGCUGCAGCAGGCUGUGAUUGCACCACUGCACUUCAGCUUGGGCAACAGAGCAAGACCCUGUCUCCAAAACAAAUAAAAAAUACUGUAAUAAAAGUACUUAUAAACAUACUAAUCCUCUCUCAGGACCCUAAAGUUGCAGGUUAGUAGGUCUUCAAGGACAAAUCUGUAAGUUUCUUAUUUCUGUAGUGCGAGUAAAAUUUCACUUUUUGAAACUAUAGAGAGAUCCCUUUCUGAUUAGCCUACAGAACUUAAAGUGAGGGAACCAUUUCCUCUCACAGACAAAGAAGCCUGGGAUAUUAGGACUUUGGGGUUUGAGAGCAUCAUGGGGCAGACAGAUGGUGGAUGGUCUGGACAAGAAGCGAGUAAGCCACUGCGGUUGGUCAUACUGAAGGGAAUUGAUGGCAAGAGGAUCCCCUGAGCAAGUCAGAAGUUACUCUCAUCAGUCGUUCAUGGUCACAACCUGAGGUACUCUGCUGAGUGGGCAAGGCUGAAGAAGAGGCCUGUGGAAUGCAGCGUUACCUGCUGGACAGAGCAGGGCAGGCAGUUCUAUGCCUUGGAGCUCCUGACUGCAGGGACUCUGUCCCCACACUCAAAAAGACUCAGCUCACUCAAUGAGAGAAUGUGAUUUACUUUAUAGAACGUAUACUCAACUUUGUUGAAUAAUUUGUUCUAUUAAGGCUGUCUAAAGUAUAUGAUGUCUUCAUCAUAGUAUGAAGUGUCGAAAAUUAAUAACGAGCCUAGUUUAGGAAAAAGCUGCUUAAAACUGUGGCUCUAAGAGAGUAAUCAUAAAAUACCUUAGAUAAAAUUGCACUAUGGAAUUUUCAUUGAGUAUGUUUAAAUUAUUGGCUUGUCUACUAAUACACAUCUGCUUCAAAAUGAACAUAUUUCAUAAAAUUGGCAUCAAUUUUAAUGACACUCCUGGUAUGGAACCUCAGAUAUACCCUAUUGGAGACAAUCCUUUGAUCAUAAAUUCUCCCCAACUAUAAAUCCUUUUAUGUCUUUAUCAU